UUUUGCGCGUAAAAAGAAAUGGCUUUUGACUGAAAUUUUAAAAAUGAGGACGAUAGUGAAAUCGCAAAACUUCUUCAAGACAAUUCCAUUUUAUCCUCCGGACAUAUAUUUGUCACAUUUUCGGAUGUCUCGUGAAACAUUUGCGGAAUUAAAGAGCGCCUUGGAGCCUUUUUGGAUAACGUCACGAGGGGAAUAUUCAAUGGAUCAGGCCUUGCAUAUUACCUUGUGAAAGCUUAGUAACAGCAGAGUCCCUUAUCGUGAAUUAUCAAAUAAAUUUGAUGUUUCAAAAGGGAAUGCCCACAAAAUUUUCUUAAAACGAUCAAUGCAAUCUGUAAGUUGAAGAAUGAAAUAUGUUGGCCAUCAAUUUCCCAACAGCAAACAAUAAUGGAGCGUUUCCAAGCGAGCCGGCCGAAUGCAUUUCCUUUCGUAGUCGGCUGUUUGGAUGGGACACAUUUUAAAAUAAACACACCGAAGAAGGAUGCAAUUACUACUGACUGAACUAUGACUGAAUUACUAUGACCGAAAGGGGAACUAUUCCAUUAUUAUGCAGGGCAUAUGCGACAGCACAUUUCGUUUCUUGGAUGUUUUUAUCGGCUACCCAGGGAGCUGCCAUGACGCCAACGUAUGGAAAAAUAGUCCGAUAUACAAAGGAAAAUCGUCUGGAGAGAUACAACUUGCAAAAGAUGCUAUAAUUUUAGCUGACUCAGCUUAUCCUCUUUCAAAAUAUUUGAUCGCGCCUUAUAGAGAUAAUGGACAUCUGUUGAGAGAGGAGAAGCAAUUUAAUUAUUAUUUAAGUUCAACUCGGGUAUUAAUAGAACAAGCUUUUGGGAUUUUGAGGGGAAAGUUCAAAAUUUUAAAUCAUAUUGAUAUUCAAAAUAUGGAAGAGGUAUCAAAAGUUGUAUUAGCUUGUGUA
Bactrocera latifrons is the source of this 913-nucleotide long non-coding RNA. RefSeq lists it as uncharacterized. The transcript has 3 exons. NCBI's taxonomy places the organism in Eukaryota, Metazoa, Arthropoda, Insecta, Diptera, Tephritidae. The record is from RefSeq and is a predicted model, not a curated record.